GACGAACGCUGGCGGCGUGCUUAACACAUGCAAGUCGCACGGUAAGGCCCUGCGGGGUACACGAGUGGCGAACGGGUGAGUAACACGUGGGUGAUCUGCCCUGCACUGUGGGAUAAGCCUGGGAAACUGGGUCUAAUACCGGAUAGGACCAUGCGCUGCACGGUGUGUGGGGGCAAGCCUCUGCGGUGUGGGAUGGGCCCGCGGCCGAGCGGCUUGUUGGGGGAGUAAUGGCCUACCAAGGCGACAAGGGGUAGCCGGCCUGCGAGGGUGGCCGGCCACACUGGGACUGAGAUACGGCCCAGACUCCUACGGGAGGCAGCAGUGGGGAAUAUUGCACAAUGGGCACAAGCCUGAUGCAGCGACGCCGCGUGAGGGAUGACGGCCUUCGGGUUGUAAACCUCUUUCAGUAGGGACGAAGCGCAAGUGACGGUACCUACAGAAGAAGGACCGGCCAACUACGUGCCAGCCGCCGCGGUAA
This 478-nucleotide ribosomal RNA is filed under the name uncultured bacterium. RNAcentral describes it as "partial 16S ribosomal RNA". It matches the Rfam family "Bacterial small subunit ribosomal RNA", at positions 28 to 523 of the family's 1533-position model. The record is from RNAcentral.